This 25-nucleotide non-coding RNA is filed under the name Mus musculus (house mouse). The record is from RNAcentral. Lineage: Eukaryota; Metazoa; Chordata; Mammalia; Rodentia; Muridae.
UGCCAACAACUGUCCAGCUUUGAGG